Molecule: long non-coding RNA, 343 nt
Filed under: Medicago truncatula (barrel medic)
Lineage: Eukaryota; Viridiplantae; Streptophyta; Magnoliopsida; Fabales; Fabaceae
Description: lncRNA gene49716
Source: RNAcentral
AUGGGGUGUUGUUGCUUAACUACUCCUUUAUAUAAUGUACGAUGGUUAGGUGUUUUUUAUUUAUUUUUUGCUUAUGUAUUAUCUUACACCUAAUGGAUGAGUAUAGUUAGUUGAAAAUAGAAGCGUUUUGCAUAAGCUAAUUUUGGAACAUGUGAAAGAGUAAGUAAAAAGCACCAUUAGUGUGGUGUGAGUCAGUGCUUAUGUCUCUUUUUCUCUCUCUCUCGUAACACUAAUAAAUGUGCUUCCCUCUCAGCUAGCUAUAUAUAAGAAGGUAUGUGAAGGUUAGGGUUUUCAUCAAGGGUGAGAGUGAGAGUGAGAGAGAGUUGAAGGUGUCUGUCUUCUU